AUUGAACGCUGGCGGCAUGCCUUACACAUGCAAGUCGAACGGUAACAGGUUAAGCUGACGAGUGGCGAACGGGUGAGUAAUGUAUCGGAACGUGCCCAGUCGUGGGGGAUAACUGCUCGAAAGAGCAGCUAAUACCGCAUACGACCUGAGGGUGAAAGCGGGGGAUCGCAAGACCUCGCGCGAUUGGAGCGGCCGAUAUCAGAUUAGGUAGUUGGUGAGGUAAAGGCUCACCAAGCCGACGAUCUGUAGCUGGUCUGAGAGGACGACCAGCCACACUGGGACUGAGACACGGCCCAGACUCCUACGGGAGGCAGCAGUGGGGAAUUUUGGACAAUGGGCGCAAGCCUGAUCCAGCCAUGCCGCGUGCGGGAAGAAGGCCUUCGGGUUGUAAACCGCCUUUGUCAGGGAAGAAAAGGUUCUGGCUAAUACCUGGGACUCAUGACGGUACCUGAAGAAUAAGCACCGGCUAACUACGUGCCAGCAGCCGCAGUAA
RNAcentral lists this ribosomal RNA (493 nucleotides) under uncultured bacterium. RNAcentral describes it as "partial 16S ribosomal RNA". It matches the Rfam family "Bacterial small subunit ribosomal RNA", at positions 30 to 523 of the family's 1533-position model. The record is from RNAcentral.